CCUAAAUACUACCCAGUGACCGAUAGCGUAUAGUACUGUGAAGGAAAGGUGAAAAGGACCCCGGGAGGGGAGUGAAAUAGAACCUGAAACCUUGUGCCUACAAGCACAUAGAGCACAUCAACGUGUGAUAUGGUACUUUUUGUAGAACGGUCCGGCGAGCGAUUGUAUGUUGCGAGCUUAAGGUCUUAAGGACUGGAGGCGUAGCGAGAGCGAGUCUGAACAGGGCGUUCAGUAACAUGCAAUGGGCCCGAAACCGGGUGACCUACCCAUGAUCAGGCUGAAGUGAAAGUAAAAUUUCAUGGAGGGCCGAACCGACCUCCGUUGAAAAGGCGGCGGAUGAAUUGUGGGUAGCGGAGAAAUUCCAAUCGAACUCGGAGAUAGCUGGUUCUCCCCGAAAUAGCUUUAGGGCUAGCCUCAUAUUAGAUACCCGGAGGUAAAGCACUGAAUGGCCUAGCGCCCGAGAGGGUAGCGAAGCCUAUCAAACUAAGAAUGCCGGAGUAUUGAUGUAUGGGAGUCAGACAGUGUGAGAUAAAUCUCAUUGUCAAAAGGGAAACAGCCCAGAUCUACAGCUAAGGUCCCAAAUUGUAUCUAAGUGGAAAACGAUGUGGAAAUACGCAGACAACCAGGAUGUUGGCUCAGAAGCAGCCACUCAUUUAAAGAGUGCGUAAUAGCUCACUGGUCGAGCGUCUCUGCGCGGAAAAUUUAACGGGGCUAAGAUACAAACCGAAGCUUAGGCUGCACGUAAGUGCGGGGUAGGGGAGCGUUGUGUAAGCGGAGAAACAGUAGCGUAAGCGGCUGUGGAGUUUACAGAAGUGAGAAUGCCGGAAUGAGUAGCGCGAAUGUGGUGAGAAUCCACAUGGCCGGAAACCUCAGGUUUUUGGAGGAAGGUUCGUCCGCUCCAAGUUAGGCGGGAGCUAAGGUCAGGCCGAAAGGCGUAGCCGAUGCACAGACGGUAGAGAUUCCGUCCCCACCGAAAGAUUUAAGCACAGGGACACUUUUUGAAGGUCGGAGCCAGGUGUUGGUUCUGGUAGUGAUCGAGGGAAAUAUAGUACCGAAGUCCGGCUGGAAGAGAGGCGAGAAAAGCUGUGUGUAUAUCUAAGGUGCCCGUACCGCAAACCGACACAGGUAGGUAGGAAGAAGAUUCUAAGGCCAACGGGAGAAGGGUUGUUAAGGAACUCGGCAAAUUGACCCCGUAACUUCGGGAGAAGGGGUGCUCCAGAGAUGGAGCCGCAGAGAAUCGGCCCAAGCAACUGUUUACCAAAAACACAGGUUUGUGCUAAAUCGAAAGAUGACGUAUACGAGCUGACGCCUGCCCGGUGCUGGAAGGUUAAAAGGAGAUGUGCAAGCAUUGAAUUGAAGCCCCAGUGAACGGCGGCCGUAACUAUAACGGUCCUAAGGUAGCGAAAUUCCUUGUCAGGUAAGUUCUGACCC
This 1431-nucleotide ribosomal RNA is filed under the name human gut metagenome. RNAcentral's name for it is "bacterial LSU rRNA". It matches the Rfam family "Bacterial large subunit ribosomal RNA", at positions 465 to 1989 of the family's 2925-position model. The record is from RNAcentral.